UACAGAAGGCGGGCGUUGAGGGGUGGGUGAAACUCUGGAAGCUGUCCUCUCCUUUCCCUUCCUGGGUUCCAUCAGGUAGGGAGGAGGUGACCCUGUGUCUGCAUGAAUACUUGUGUGGGGGAUGAGGGAAUUGUAUACAAAGUCACUUCAGUUCAUCUCGGUCUCCUGCCAAUCAGCAUUUUUCUGCUUCCAAUCUGGUGGCCAGCAUCUAAUGCCUUCCCGCCUCCCGCUUUGGGCUGCUGGUGGCUGUGGAUUUGGCUUGCAUCCUAGCUCCUAAACAUAGUAGAUGGCCUCUCUGGGGCCACCUCCCCGUGAAGGGCCCCUAUCUAAAAGAGGUAGAAUGUAGAGGACACAGUGAUGGACUUGACAUAGGUGUGAAGCCACCAGUGGGGAAGGGAAAGCGGGCCCCAGAGCCCUAAGUCUGCGUGGGUCAGCUAGAGCACAAACGAGUGGCAUCCAAAGCCGGUGGCCACUUAGCAAGAACGUCCAGGGCUGGGCUGCCGUGCCCUUGGGCCUCGAGCUCUUCCCAUGUCCCAGGUGAUUCAGCCCCUGCCCAGGCGAGAUCUGCCAUGACUGCGUCAGCCAAAGGACCCAGCCUUUCUUCGCCUCCUCCCUUCCUGCCCGGCUGCCAGGCCCUGCAGCUGAUCUCGCCUGCAAACGAGUUUGACUUGAAGGGUGCCUGGCCCCAGACACACCAAGUGUUCUUAUGCCAUCUAGACCCUGCACAAGAUAUUCCCUUGGUGGCAACCUCCCACCCAUUCUCGACCACAACACUGGUUCCUUCAUGAACUUCCCCUUGGCCUAGAACUUGAGGGCCAAGACCUUAGAGGAUGCUGGCUGCCCCCUGCUGGGCCUGAGCUUGGCCCAGGCCCUCUCUACUCUCAGUUUCUCUUGUGGCUUGGCCCCCGCAUCCACCUCCGAGGUUGGCCAGCCACCCAGGCUCUGGCAGAGUCCUGCUGAAGACCCCCAGAUGGAGUAACCUCCUCACUGACAAGCAGCCCUCCCAGGCCCUGCUAUGAGGGGGCCCGCCCUGCCAUCUCAUCCUCCUAAGCUUUUCAACCAGUUUCUACUUGCUGGGUGACCCAGCCAGCUCCAAGCAGGGAACAGAGAGCUGCUGGCUGGGGUCCCCCUUGAUGGAAACUCACAUCUUCUCAGCACAGAGGAAAGGGGCAGGCCCUCAUCAGAAUGGAUCAGAGCAGCCCGGAUGGGGGGUGUGCACCUGGCCCUUGUCCACUCCACUUGGCCCCAGUCACCUGUACUUGGGGAUGGUGAACUCAACCCAAUGGCUCUAGGCUCCCUGGCAUUGUGUGCUCCAUCCCUCCCCUUCCUCCCCCACCCGCCCCCUUGAGACCAGCACAGUCUCUAGA
Molecule: long non-coding RNA, 1367 nt
Organism: Manis javanica (Malayan pangolin)
Lineage: Eukaryota; Metazoa; Chordata; Mammalia; Pholidota; Manidae
Source: RefSeq, a predicted model, not a curated record